This 497-nucleotide ribosomal RNA is filed under the name uncultured bacterium. RNAcentral describes it as "partial 16S ribosomal RNA". It matches the Rfam family "Bacterial small subunit ribosomal RNA", at positions 28 to 507 of the family's 1533-position model. The record is from RNAcentral.
GAUGAACGCUGGCGGCGUGCCUAAUACAUGCAAGUAGAACGCUGAAGGAAGGAGCUUGCUCUUUCCGGAUGAGUUGCGAACGGGUGAGUAACGCGUAGGUAACCUGCCUGGUAGCGGGGGAUAACUAUUGGAAACGAUAGCUAAUACCGCAUAACAGUAGAUGUUGCAUGAUAUCUACUUAAAAGGUGCAAUUGCACCACUACCAGAUUGACCUGCGUUGUAUUAGCUAGUUGGUGAGGUAACGGCUCACCAAGGCGACGAUACAUAGCCGACCUGAGAGGGUGAUCGGCCAAACUGGGACUGAGACAAGGCCCAGACUCCUACGGGAGGCAGCAGUAGGGAAUCUUCGGCAAUGGACGGAAGUCUGACCGAGCAACGCCGCGUGAGUGAAGAAGGUUUUCGGAUCGUAAAGCUCUGUUGUAAGAGAAGAACGAGUGGGAGAGUGGAAAGUUCACACUGUGACGGUAUCUUACCAGAAAGGGACGGCUAACUACGUG